UUUUCCAGCUGCAGUGGGAGUGGAGUUGGCAUUGGAGCACAAUCAGUCAUUCCUGCUACAGCCAAGAGGGAUCAGAUGUACUGCAGAGAAAACCAAACUCCAACAGAUAAGUGCUGAACUUAUCAAACCAUGCUCUUGGUGACUGUUUUAGGCCAUAGAUAGACUUAUGUAGAUGACAAACAUCAUUUGGUCUUGCAGGGUCAACAAAACCAGCUGGCUGAGUCAUGUAAACUGUUUCUGUAAGAUCUCCAUGUUUCAAGAUAGUCUAUACCUUCUUCUUGGUUAUAGCCUUUUGCAACAAGUCUGGCCCUAAGCUUGUCAAGAGAGCCAUCAGCAUUGAGCUUAGUUUUGAAGACCCAUUUGUGGCCAAGAACAUGCAUAUUUGAUGUCCGAGGAUGCUGAACUGUAGCUUGUAUUGGAGCAGAUGGAGCUAUUGGAGAAGAUGAGGCUUCUGCAGUGGGGUUCCUGUCAGUAGCAAUACUUGAUGACACAAUGGAAGUCCUAUCAGUAGCUGUAUCUGAUGAUGGUACAGAGCUGUUGCCUAUAGGAAACAGAUCAAAGCUAUCCGUACACCCAGAACUCAGACCAUCAACAGGUACAGGAGACUGAAGAACAACAUUGGAGCAGGCAGGAUCAAUAGGCAGUGUAUAGAGGAGUAGACAAUGUCAGUUUGGAUGACAUAAGAGAAUGGAAGGAAAACAUUUGUUCAUCAAAAAUGACAUGCCUGCUGAUGUAGAUGCGACCAGUUGCAGGCACAACCAAAGACACGAAGAGAGGAGUAUUCAGGCUUGUGACCAAAGAGAACUUCAUAGGGACUCAUCUUAUUGUCUAGGACUGAAGAGGGCAGGAUAUUACUCAGAAAGUUGGCCGUGUAGAAAGCUUCAACCCAAUACUUGAGAGGCAUAUUGCUCUGAUACAUCAUAGACAGCCCCAACUCUAUAAGGUCCCCAUAGAUCACAGUGGAUUCUCUGAAGAGGCCUUGAGGUGACAGUUGAAGAAGCAGAGAAAGGUAAUCUUGAACUCUUCCCAAGCUGACAUGCUUCACAUAUCUUCUUGGUGCUUUUAUUGAUGUUGAUAGCUUUAUUAUUUGAUAAAUGGUGAAGGAUCUGAGAAUUAAGAUGACCAAGCCUCAUAUGCCAGACAUCUUCAGCAGCUGAAUGUUGUCUAGUUGAGUAGAAGGCUUUAACAACGGUGUCCUUCACAAUAUAGUGACCUUUACUGUGACUUCCCUGGACCAGCAACUGUUUUGUGGCCUUAUCAAGUACACGCACAACAUCACAAUCAAACUCAACAGUACAUGGAUAAUCAUGGGUUGUGAGGAGCACUGGUAAUAUGAGAGGUGGAGCCAGAAUCAGGAACCCAUUCAUGGCCAGCAUGAUCUGUAACAUCAGUGAUCCUCAUGGCAGUGAGAGCAGUUGGUAGGUCUUCAUAUUGAUAACUGUUGUUGAACCUAUGCCAACAUUUGAGUGCUGGAUGACCUUGUUUGCCACAGAUCUGACAGGUAACCUUGUUUGUUGUGUUGUAGGAACCAGAGGAAUCUGAACCCGGAGAGAUUUGUUGAUGAAAGCCUCUGCCUUUGGUGGAGUAGGAGUCUCCUCUGCCUCUAGAACCACCAGAUCUGCCUCUCCCUCGACCACCAGAAUAGUUUGUGUAAAAGGCUAAGUGAGGAGAAGCCUCAAGAUUUGUGCUGUAACUAGACAAUCUGUCUGCAUAGCUUGUGAGUCUAGAGGUAACAUCAUCAAAACUGGGAGCAGGAGACAAAUCUAUCAUUCCUUCAAUAGAUACUUUAACAGGUUCAUAUUCCCUUCCUAAUCCUUUCAGAGCAGCAAAAAUUUUCAUUUUUUCUGGAACUGGACUGCCUAUUGAAGCCAGUUGCUCACAAACACUUUUGAUAUCACGCAGAUAAUCAGCCAUAGGUCUAUCUAGCUUCUCAGAGGUUUGAAGUUUACUCUAAAGUUCAAAAAGCCUUGAAGAAGAUACCUUGUUGAAGUGUUUUGCCAGAGCUAACCAUAACUCCUGUGAGGUUGUAGUGCCAGUGACCUCAGCAAGAAUUUCUUCAGAGAGAGAGCCAAGCAGCCAAGCACGAACGAUCUGAUCUGCACGGAACCAUUCACCAUGGUCUGGAUUUGGAACUGAUGCAGCUAUGCCAGCAAUGUGUUGCACAAGAAUGGUUGCAGGUGGAGCUGGAAUGGAUCCAUUCACAAAGCCAAGAUACGUAUAAAGGUCCAGGGAUUGUUUGCCCAUGGCCUCUGAUACCAUAAACGUAAUAGAGCCCUAAGGCUAGAACAUGAAAGAUAAG
Capsella rubella is the source of this 2299-nucleotide long non-coding RNA. RefSeq lists it as uncharacterized. The transcript is spliced from 9 exons. The record is from RefSeq and is a predicted model, not a curated record. Lineage: Eukaryota; Viridiplantae; Streptophyta; Magnoliopsida; Brassicales; Brassicaceae.